GGUUAAGCGACUAAGCGUACACGGUGGAUGCCCUGGCAGUCAGAGGCGAUGAAGGGCGUGCUAAUCUGCGAUAAGCGCCGGUAAGGUGAUAUGAACCGUUAUAACCGGCGAUACCCGAAUGGGGAAACCCAGUGUGACUCGUCACACUAUCAUUAACUGAAUCCAUAGGUUAAUGAGGCGAACCGGGGGAACUGAAACAUCUAAGUACCCCGAGGAAAAGAAAUCAACCGAGAUUCCCCCAGUAGCGGCGAGCGAACGGGGAGGAGCCCAGAGCCUGAAUCAGCAUGUGUGUUAGUGGAAGCGUCUGGAAAGGCGCGCGAUACAGGGUGACAGCCCCGUACACAAAAGCGCAUGUGCUGUGAGCUCGAUGAGUAGGGCGGGACACGUGGUAUCCUGUCUGAAUAUGGGGGGACCAUCCUCCAAGGCUAAAUACUCCUGACUGACCGAUAGUGAACCAGUACCGUGAGGGAAAGGCGAAAAGAACCCCGGCGAGGGGAGUGAAAAAGAACCUGAAACCGUGUACGUACAAGCAGUGGGAGCACAGGUUUACCUGUGUGACUGCGUACCUUUUGUAUAAUGGGUCAGCGACUUAUAUUCUGUAGCAAGGUUAACCGAAUAGGGGAGCCGGAGGGAAACCGAGUCUUAAUUGGGCGUUAAGUUGCAGGGUAUAGACCCGAAACCCGGUGAUCUAGCCAUGGGCAGGUUGAAGGUUGGGUAACACUAACUGGAGGACCGAACCGACUAAUGUUGAAAAAUUAGCGGAUGACCUGUGGCUGGGGGUGAAAGGCCAAUCAAACCGGGAGAUAGCUGGUUCUCCCCGAAAGCUAUUUAGGUAGCGCCUCGUGAAUUCAUCUCCGGGGGUAGAGCACUGUUUCGGCUAGGGGGCCAUCCCGGCUUACCAACCCGAUGCAAACUGCGAAUACCGGAGAAUGUUAUCACGGGAGACACACGGCGGGUGCUAACGUCCGUCGUGAAGAGGGAAACAACCCAGACCGCCAGCUAAGGUCCCAAAGUCAUGGUUAAGUGGGAAACGAUGUGGGAAGGCCCAGACAGCCAGGAUGUUGGCUUAGAAGCAGCCAUCAUUUAAAGAAAGCGUAAUAGCUCACUGGUCGAGUCGGCCUGCGCGGAAGAUGUAACGGGGCUAAACCAUGCACCGAAGCUGCGGCAGCGAACGUAUCACCCAAGACAACUUUACGGAGUUGACGAUUGACGGAGCGAAGCGACGUCAAAGCGUUCAUUAAAGUCGAGUUGGCUUAGGGAUACGUUCGUUGGGUAGGGGAGCGUUCUGUAAGCCUGUGAAGGUGGCCUGUGAGGGUUGCUGGAGGUAUCAGAAGUGCGAAUGCUGACAUAAGUAACGAUAAAGCGGGUGAAAAGCCCGCUCGCCGGAAGACCAAGGGUUCCUGUCCAACGUUAAUCGGGGCAGGGUGAGUCGACCCCUAAGGCGAGGCCGAAAGGCGUAGUCGAUGGGAAACGGGUUAAUAUUCCCGUACUUGGUGUUACUGCGAAGGGGGGACGGAGAAGGCUAUGUUGGCCGGGCGACGGUUGUCCCGGUUUAAGCGUGUAGGCUGGUUUUCCAGGCAAAUCCGGAAAAUCAAGGCUGAGGCGUGACGACGAGGCACUACGGUGCUGAAGCAACAAAUGCCCUGCUUCCAGGAAAAGCCUCUAAGCAUCAGGUAACAUCAAAUCGUACCCCAAACCGACACAGGUGGUCAGGUAGAGAAUACCAAGGCGCUUGAGAGAACUCGGGUGAAGGAACUAGGCAAAAUGGUGCCGUAACUUCGGGAGAAGGCACGCUGACACGUAGGUGAAGUGAUUUACUCAUGGAGCUGAAGUCAGUCGAAGAUACCAGCUGGCUGCAACUGUUUAUUAAAAACACAGCACUGUGCAAACACGAAAGUGGACGUAUACGGUGUGACGCCUGCCCGGUGCCGGAAGGUUAAUUGAUGGGGUCAGCGCAAGCGAAGCUCCUGAUCGAAGCCCCGGUAAACGGCGGCCGUAACUAUAACGGUCCUAAGGUAGCGAAAUUCCUUGUCGGGUAAGUUCCGACCUGCACGAAUGGCGUAAUGAUGGCCAGGCUGUCUCCACCCGAGACUCAGUGAAAUUGAACUCGCUGUGAAGAUGCAGUGUACCCGCGGCAAGACGGAAAGACCCCGUGAACCUUUACUAUAGCUUGACACUGAACAUUGAGCCUUGAUGUGUAGGAUAGGUGGGAGGCUUUGAAGUGUGGACGCCAGUCUGCAUGGAGCCGACCUUGAAAUACCACCCUUUAAUGUUUGAUGUUCUAACGUGGACCCGUAAUCCGGGUUGCGGACAGUGUCUGGUGGGUAGUUUGACUGGGGCGGUCUCCUCCUAAAGAGUAACGGAGGAGCACGAAGGUUGGCUAAUCCUGGUCGGACAUCAGGAGGUUAGUGCAAUGGCAUAAGCCAGCUUGACUGCGAGCGUGACGGCGCGAGCAGGUGCGAAAGCAGGUCAUAGUGAUCCGGUGGUUCUGAAUGGAAGGGCCAUCGCUCAACGGAUAAAAGGUACUCCGGGGAUAACAGGCUGAUACCGCCCAAGAGUUCAUAUCGACGGCGGUGUUUGGCACCUCGAUGUCGGCUCAUCACAUCCUGGGGCUGAAGUAGGUCCCAAGGGUAUGGCUGUUCGCCAUUUAAAGUGGUACGCGAGCUGGGUUUAGAACGUCGUGAGACAGUUCGGUCCCUAUCUGCCGUGGGCGCUGGAGAACUGAGGGGGGCUGCUCCUAGUACGAGAGGACCGGAGUGGACGCAUCACUGGUGUUCGGGUUGUCAUGCCAAUGGCACUGCCCGGUAGCUAAAUGCGGAAGAGAUAAGUGCUGAAAGCAUCUAAGCACGAAACUUGCCCCGAGAUGAGUUCUCCCUGAGACUUUAGGUCUCCUGAAGGAACGUUGAAGACGACGACGUUGAUAGGCCGGGUGUGUAAGCGCAGCGAUGCGUUGAGCUAACCGGUACUAAUGAACCGUGAGGCUUAACCUU
RNAcentral lists this ribosomal RNA (2990 nucleotides) under Salmonella enterica. RNAcentral's name for it is "23S ribosomal RNA". It matches the Rfam family "Bacterial large subunit ribosomal RNA". The record is from RNAcentral. RNAcentral also lists the same sequence under 1 other name. Lineage: Bacteria; Pseudomonadati; Pseudomonadota; Gammaproteobacteria; Enterobacterales; Enterobacteriaceae.